AUCUAUGAUCAAAUUACGAGGAAACACGACUGACCUCGUCGGAUCUCGGAAGCCAAGCGGGUGCGAGCCUGGAUAGCGCUUGGAUGGGUGACCACCAUGCACGGACAGGUUGUCACAGGUG
This 121-nucleotide ribosomal RNA is filed under the name Petromyzon marinus (sea lamprey). The record is from RNAcentral. Lineage: Eukaryota; Metazoa; Chordata; Hyperoartia; Petromyzontiformes; Petromyzontidae.